AUGGGCGUCGACCGGCGCACGGGUGAGUAACGCGUAUCCAACCUGCCCAUCACUUGGGGAUAACCUUGCGAAAGUAAGACUAAUACCCAAUGAUAUCUCUAGAAGACAUCUGAAAGAGAUUAAAGAUUUAUCGGUGAUGGAUGGGGAUGCGUCUGAUUAGCUUGUUGGCGGGGUAACGGCCCACCAAGGCGACGAUCAGUAGGGGUUCUGAGAGGAAGGUCCCCCACAUUGGAACUGAGACACGGUCCAAACUCCUACGGGAGGCAGCAGUGAGGAAUAUUGGUCAAUGGGCGAGAGCCUGAACCAGCCAAGUAGCGUGCAGGAUGACGGCCCUAUGGGUUGUAAACUGCUUUUAUAAGGGAAUAAAGUGAGUCUCGUGAGACUUUUUGCAUGUACCUUAUGAAUAAGGACCGGCUAAUUCCGUGCCAGCAGCCGCGGUAAUACGGAAGGUCCGGGCGUUAUCCGGAUUUAUUGGGUUUAAAGGGAGCGUAGGCCGGAGAUUAAGCGUGUUGUGAAAUGUAGACGCUCAACGUCUGCACUGCAGCGCGAACUGGUUUCCUUGAGUACGCACAAAGUGGGCGGAAUUCGUGGUGUAGCGGUGAAAUGCUUAGAUAUCACGAAGAACUCCGAUUGCGAAGGCAGCUCACUGGAGCGCAACUGACGCUGAAGCUCGAAAGUGCGGGUAUCGAACAGGAUUAGAUACCCUGGUAGUCCGCACGGUAAACGAUGGAUGCCCGCUGUUGGUCUGAAUAGGUCAGCGGCCAAGCGAAAGCAUUAAGCAUCCCACCUGGGGAGUACGCCGGC
RNAcentral lists this ribosomal RNA (804 nucleotides) under uncultured bacterium. RNAcentral describes it as "bacterial SSU rRNA". It matches the Rfam family "Bacterial small subunit ribosomal RNA", at positions 84 to 889 of the family's 1533-position model. The record is from RNAcentral.